ACGAACGCUGGCGGCAUGCCUCACACAUGCAAGUCGAACGAGACCUUCGGGUCUAGUGGCGCACGGGUGCGUAACGCGUGGGAACCUGCCCUUAGGUUCGGAAUAACUCCCCGAAAGGGGUGCUAAUACCGGAUAAUGUCUUCGGACCAAAGAUUUAUCGCCUUUGGAUGGGCCCGCGUUGGAUUAGCUAGUUGGUAGGGUAAAAGCCUACCAAGGCGACGAUCCAUAGCUGGUCUGAGAGGAUGAUCAGCCACACUGGGACUGGGACACGGCCCAGACUCCUACGGGAGGCAGCAGUGGGGAAUAUUGGACAAUGGGCGAGAGCCUGAUCCAGCAAUGCCGCGUGAGUGAUGAAGGCCUUAGGGUUGUAAAGCUCUUUUACCCGGGAUGAUAAUGACAGUACCGGGAGAAUAAGCUCCGGCUAACUCCGUG
This 432-nucleotide ribosomal RNA is filed under the name uncultured bacterium. Its description in RNAcentral is "partial 16S ribosomal RNA". It matches the Rfam family "Bacterial small subunit ribosomal RNA", at positions 29 to 507 of the family's 1533-position model. The record is from RNAcentral.